Molecule: unclassified non-coding RNA, 274 nt
Filed under: Hevea brasiliensis (rubber tree)
Lineage: Eukaryota; Viridiplantae; Streptophyta; Magnoliopsida; Malpighiales; Euphorbiaceae
Source: RNAcentral
GUUCAUGCAAGUUUCCCACCAACAACCACCACCAAAACCUAAUCCCAAACUAGUUGGGGUUGGUUAAAUGGAUUUUUUUUCCGCUAUUUAGCUCUGUUAGACAUUAGGUCCACAUCAAUAUCCAAGACUUAUAAAUUCUUUAAUACUAUUUCUCUCUACAUCAUCCUAGGCCUCCCCUUCCCUUUCUUCUUUUAACUCCUUCCCCCAUUAACUUAUCACACUUCUAUAGAAAGGCAUUUGAUUUUUUGCGUUGUACAUGACCAAACCAUCUUAA